This 253-nucleotide ribosomal RNA is filed under the name uncultured bacterium. RNAcentral describes it as "partial 16S ribosomal RNA". It matches the Rfam family "Bacterial small subunit ribosomal RNA", at positions 524 to 776 of the family's 1533-position model. The record is from RNAcentral.
UACGGAGGGUCCAAGCGUUAUCCGGAAUCAUUGGGUUUAAAGGGUCCGUAGGCGGUUUUGUAAGUCAGUGGUGAAAGCCCAUCGCUCAACGGUGGAACGGCCAUUGAUACUGCAAGACUUGAAUUGUUGGGAAGUAACUAGAAUAUGUAGUGUAGCGGUGAAAUGCUUAGAGAUUACAUGGAAUACCAAUUGCGAAGGCAGGUUACUACCAACACAUUGACGCUGAUGGACGAAAGCGUGGGGAGCGAACAGG